This 494-nucleotide long non-coding RNA is filed under the name Bos taurus (domestic cattle). RNAcentral's name for it is "long non-coding RNA NONBTAT011563". The record is from RNAcentral. Lineage: Eukaryota; Metazoa; Chordata; Mammalia; Artiodactyla; Bovidae.
AGGCAGUCUGUCUCCUUGGGAUAAGGAAGGAUUUGGAACUCAGCGACUGUGAGGUCUUGGCCUCUACUGUGUUUUCUGGUUUGUUUUGUUAGCAGGGGCAAGUUAUUCUAGUUUCUUGCUUCUGGGGUUUUCUUCUGCACACUUAUAAGCUGAGUCUCCACCCCAUGGAUGGCAAUGGGGUGGAUGGAAUGGGAUAAUGAAAGGGGUGGAGAGAGAAGUUGAUUCAGCUGCUUAGGAUGAGGGAGGCAAAGAAACUUCAAACCUCAGAGCUAGCUUCUGAGUCCAUCAACGGUGGAGAGGAAAGGGGCACCCCCAAGGAUGGAAGUGCCCCCAAUCCAGAGAGAAGCUGGUCUCUCAGACAGUACUAUGGCUAGUUCAUUAGGAAAACCAGCUUAAUGUCUGGAUGGUGAUCUUAUUACCCAUGAAAAGGUUAAGAUGUAGUAGUUUAUAGUAUUUAGAAGAGUAAUCCAUGAAGUGUAUUCACAAGUAAUCAG